RNAcentral lists this ribosomal RNA (746 nucleotides) under uncultured Verrucomicrobiota bacterium. RNAcentral describes it as "bacterial SSU rRNA". It matches the Rfam family "Bacterial small subunit ribosomal RNA", at positions 55 to 780 of the family's 1533-position model. The record is from RNAcentral. Lineage: Bacteria; Pseudomonadati; Verrucomicrobiota.
AUGCAGUCGAGCGAGAUUUUUUCCUGUAGCAAUACAGGGAAAAGUCUAGCGGCGAACGGGUGCUUAACACGUGGGCAACCUGCCGAGAAGUGGGGGAUAGCUCGCCGAAAGGCGAAUUAAUACCGCAUGUGAUUAGAGUGGACAUCCAUUCAAAAUCAAAGUCGGGGCAACCUGACGCUUCUUGAGGGGCCCGCGGCCUAUCAGCUAGUUGGUGAGGUAACGGCCCACCAAGGCUUUGACGGGUAGCUGGUCUGAGAGGACGACCAGCCACACUGGGACUGAGACACGGCCCAGACACCUACGGGUGGCAGCAGUCGAGAAUUUUUCUCAAUGGGGGAAACCCUGAAGGAGCGACGCCGCGUGGAGGAUGAAGGUCUUCGGAUUGUAAACUCCUGUCAUUGGGGAACAAGGUGCAUACGUUAACUGCGUGUGCAUUGAUAGUACCCGAAGAGGAAGAGACGGCUAACUCUGUGCCAGCAGCCGCGGUAAUACAGAGGUCUCAAGCGUUGUUCGGAUUCAUUGGGCGUAAAGGGUGCGUAGGCGGCGCGGUAAGUCGGGUGUGAAAUCUCGGGGCUUAACUCCGAAACUGCAUUCGAUACUGCCGUGCUUGAGGACUGGAGAGGAGACUGGAAUUUACGGUGUAGCGGUGAAAUGCGUAGAUAUCGUAAGGAAGACCAGUGGCGAAGGCGGGUCUCUGGACAGUUCCUGACGCUGAGGCACGAAGGCCAGGGGAGCAAACGGGAUUA